GAUGAACGUUGGCGGUACGCCUAAUACAUGCAAGUCGAACGGAGAUUGUAGCAAUACGGUCUUAGUGGCGAACGGGUGAGUAACGCGUUGGUGAUCUGCCUUGAAGUGUGGAAUAACGGCUCGAAAGAACCGCUAAUACCGCAUAGUCUCUCUUUGUUUAGAAAUUAGAGAGUAAAGGAUUUAUCCGCUUCAAGAGGAGCCUGCGUCCCAUCGGCUAGUUGGUAGGGUAAAAGCCUACCAAGGCUAUGACGGGUAGGGGACCUGAGAGGGUGACCCCCCCACAAUGGAACUGAAACACGGUCCAUACACCUACGGGUGGCAGCAGUAGGGAAUAUUAGUAAUGGAGGAAACUCUGAACUAGCGAUACCGCGUGUGCGAAGAAGGCCUUCGGGUUGUAAAGCACUUUUGUAGAGGAAUGGAGGAAGGACGGUACGUCUCAGAAUAAAGUCUCGGCUAACUACGUGCCAGCAGCCGCGGUAAAUACGUAAGCGUG
RNAcentral lists this ribosomal RNA (493 nucleotides) under uncultured bacterium. RNAcentral's name for it is "bacterial SSU rRNA". It matches the Rfam family "Bacterial small subunit ribosomal RNA", at positions 28 to 534 of the family's 1533-position model. The record is from RNAcentral.